GACGAACGCUGGCGGCGUGCUUAACACAUGCAAGUCGAGCGGUAAGGCCCUUUCGGGGGUACACGAGCGGCGAACGGGUGAGUAACACGUGGGUGACCUGCCCUCAGCUCUGGGAUAAGCCUGGGAAACCGGGUCUAAUACUGGAUAUGACUCCAUGACGCAUGUUGUGGGGUGGAAAGCCUUGUGCGGCUGAGGAUGGGCCCGCGGCCUAUCAGCUUGUUGGUGGGGUGANGGCCUACCAAGGCGACGACGGGUAGCCGGCCUGAGAGGGCGACCGGCCACACUGGGACUGAGACACGGCCCAGACUCCUACGGGAGGCAGCAGUGGGGAAUCUUGCGCAAUGGGCGAAAGCCUGACGCAGCGACGCCGCGUGAGGGAUGACGGCCCUCGGGUUGUAAACCCUCUU
Molecule: ribosomal RNA, 407 nt
Filed under: uncultured bacterium
Lineage: Bacteria
Description: bacterial SSU rRNA
Rfam family: Bacterial small subunit ribosomal RNA
Source: RNAcentral